RNAcentral lists this ribosomal RNA (102 nucleotides) under Anampses melanurus. RNAcentral's name for it is "partial 16S rRNA". The record is from RNAcentral. Lineage: Eukaryota; Metazoa; Chordata; Actinopteri; Labriformes; Labridae.
AGCCCAACAGCUAGCCCAACCCCUUAAAACAAAACAAUCCUUAUUUAUAACCCCUCAUGCACUAAACACGACAAACAAACCAUUUUACCCUCUUAGUAUGGG